AUUGAACGCUGGCGGAAUGCUUUACACAUGCAAGUCGAACGGUAGAGGGGGCAACCCCUCGAGAGUGGCGAACGGGUGAGUAAUAUAUCGGAACGUGCCCAGUCGUGGGGGAUAACGUAGCGAAAGUUACGCUAAUACCGCAUACGAUCUAAGGAUGAAAGCGGGGGAUCACAAGACCUCGCGCGAUCGGAGCGGCCGAUAUCAGAUUAGGUAGUUGGUGGGGUAAAGGCUCACCAAGCCAACGAUCUGUAGCUGGUCUGAGAGGACGACCAGCCACACUGGAACUGAGACACGGUCCAGACUCCUACGGGAGGCAGCAGUGGGGAAUUUUGGACAAUGGACGCAAGUCUGAUCCAGCCAUUCCGCGUGCAGGAUGAAGGCCCUCGGGUUGUAAACUGCUUUUGUACGGAACGAAAAGGUCUCUCUUAAUACGGGGGACUCAUGACGGUACCGUAAGAAUAAGCACCGGCUAACUACGUGCCAGCCGCCGCCGUAA
This 496-nucleotide ribosomal RNA is filed under the name uncultured bacterium. Its description in RNAcentral is "partial 16S ribosomal RNA". It matches the Rfam family "Bacterial small subunit ribosomal RNA", at positions 30 to 523 of the family's 1533-position model. The record is from RNAcentral.